RNAcentral lists this ribosomal RNA (222 nucleotides) under uncultured bacterium. Its description in RNAcentral is "partial 16S ribosomal RNA". It matches the Rfam family "Bacterial small subunit ribosomal RNA", at positions 109 to 334 of the family's 1533-position model. The record is from RNAcentral.
AGUAAUGUAUGGGGAUCUGCCUGAUGGCGGGGGAUAACUACUGGAAACGGUAGCUAAUACCGCAUAAUGUCUGCGGACCAAAGCGGGGGACCUCCGGGCCUCGCGCCAUCAGAUGAGCCCAUAUGGGAUUAGCUAGUAGGUAAGGUAACGGCUUACCUAGGCGACGAUCCCUAGCUGGUCUGAGAGGAUGAUCAGCCACACUGGGACUGAGACACGGCCCAG